This is a long non-coding RNA of Lutra lutra (Eurasian river otter), 1955 nucleotides long. RefSeq lists it as uncharacterized. The transcript has 3 exons. Lineage: Eukaryota; Metazoa; Chordata; Mammalia; Carnivora; Mustelidae. The record is from RefSeq and is a predicted model, not a curated record.
GUUCUCACCACCAAAAGGAGAAAGAAUGGGAGAACGAACGAAAGAAAGAAAAAAAGAAGAAAAGGAAAGGAAAGAAAAAGAAAGAAAAGGUAACUAUGAAAUGGAUAUAUUAAUUAGCUUGAUUUGGUGUUUCUUCCAGAAGGCACACAUAUACCACAUCAAGUUUUAUACCUUAAUAUGUAUAAUUUUCAAUUGUCAGCUACAUCUCAAUAAAUCUGGGGAGGGGGGAAGAAGAGAAGAAGCUUCUGUGAUGGACAGAAAUGGGGUUACUAAUGCCAAACAAGAUGGUCUGAAGAGGCAGAGCCAUGAUAACCGUAGUGGGGACCACUACCUGCUGGAGGCUGAUUUGGUUCCAAUUCCUGCAUCAAAAUGUGUGCAUGCACCUGCCUUCUCUGGUUUUGAAGUUGGGUCGACCAGACAUUCCUAUCUGUUAAAUGCAUUAAUUGGAUUAGCCCCAUGAACAGCUUAUUGGGGCUGAUUUCCCAAAGCAGCUGAGCUAUUUGAGGGGUCAUCCAUUUACGGACCACUUCCACCCAUAGCAAUUUUCGUCUCAUGGUCACUACAUGGGGUGAUACUUUUCUUUGACAGAUAACAAAACAGAAAUCCAGGGAAAUUGGGUAAUUUGUUCAAAAAUACCAAGUCAGCCAGUAAGUAAGCUCGGGUCUACUGUUAGAUAGAUAGAUACACACAUAUGUACUCUGGGAUGUCAGCAGGGUCCCCCUCCCCAAGAGAUAGAAGACCUCCUUGAGAACUCCAGCAGCCAAACUUUAUCUUACUUUACUUCCAAAAUAAAACAUAAAUGUGUCAUUUCUUGCAUUAAAAGUUGUGGGCUAUUUUUUUUUUUACUCUGAUAUGGUUAACUGAUUAACAUAAAGCUAAACUGAAACCAAAGAGAUUAAAUAAUGUCUCAACGUCACACAAUCAAAUCAGGUUUUCUGACUCCAGCCCAGGGUUCGUCUACUCAGACCACACACUCUGGGUUAGAGAUUUCCUGUUGUUCUUGACUUUCAAAGAGGUAGGGACAUGCUCUCAGUUGUUUAAUUGUCCUGGUUUCACCUGGUGUUUUGUUUUCCACCUAAGCAUUUCAUAAAUAAAUAUCUCUCAAGAAUUAGAAUCAUGGAAGUUGUAUAAAUCUCACCAGGAAAAGCAAAGCAGGGCCAUCUUGCUGACCAGUACUUACAAUCUUCCCUUUUGUUUUUUUGUUUUUGUUUUUGUUUUUGUUUUAAUAAUGUGGCUUCUGAUCUUUCACAAAAGCCCCAGUUUGAAUCACAUUUAUAAAAAUAUCACUGAACUACACCCUCUCGGCAGGAAAAUUGGUUUAGUAACUCAUGAUCUCAGUCUCUCUUUCUUUUCAGUGCCUGUUAAUUCUAUAAUUUCAUCAUUUUUUUUUCUUUUUUUCCCCUGCAUCUGGGGGAGAUAAGGAAAGGAAAAAGGGGAGAGUAAGAACACAGACCACGCCAUGAUUUUCUGAGUCGACUGAACAAAAGUAAUGUCACAAAACUGGGUUAUAUCCCAUUAGAGAGACCAUCCAGAAAAACAAGACAGCUGAGAACUCCUUCAGAGUGGUCAAAGGGGAAAACAGAUUAUUUCAGAGCUUGAACAAUGGGGCAUUCUUUUAACUAUGCCCAGAAAGAACCAAUGUUAAGGAAAACAGGAGACGUCUGUCCUUGGCAUCCUUCAUCAGUGCCUUUAUGGAAUCAAAUGCCCCAUCUGAGCAUCGACACCAUGCUGGGCAUUGAGGAUACAAACUUGAAGAUGUCAGUACAAAGACUUGCAGAACCAUCCACCGGAUGAUUUUUGCUUACGUGAGAAAGCUCCUCUCCUCAAACUUCUGGUCACUCUGAUAUCUUUAAGAAUAAACCAUUAAACAUUAUCAACCAGCUACUGCUAAACGAUGAACUGAUAUCCACUUGUUAGGAAAAAAUGUUUACUUAGUUCUGAAAAUAAACUUACUU